RNAcentral lists this unclassified non-coding RNA (1945 nucleotides) under uncultured fungus. RNAcentral describes it as "sequence contains 18S rRNA gene, ITS1, 5.8S rRNA gene, ITS2, 28S rRNA gene". The stretch from base 814 to 1945 matches the Rfam family "Eukaryotic large subunit ribosomal RNA", at positions 1 to 961 of the family's 3401-position model. Lineage: Eukaryota; Fungi. The record is from RNAcentral.
GGAAGGAUCAUUAAUGAAUGUGCCAGUACACGUACUGCGACACCAUGUUUUGUCCCAACCGGUUGCUAUGGAGAUGGCAUCAUCUGAGCUGAACUUGACUGAACUUGUGAAGCGUAGUGUCGUUGUACCUACGAAUAGUAGUAAUAAAUACAACUUUCAACAACGGAUCUCUUGGCUCUCAUAUCGAUGAAGAACGUAGCAAAUUGCGAAAAGUAAUGUGAAUUGCAGAAUUCAGUGAAUCAUCGAAUCUUUGAACGCAUCUUGCCACUCUCUGGUAUUCCGGAGAGUAUGUCUGUUUUAGUAUCCUAUCCAUCCAAUCAAAGAUCCGAUCUUUGGACGAUGAGUGCUAUUUGUGCUACGCAAAUUCACUUGAAAAGCAUAGUUCGCCUGUGUCGGCGAGUGCGGCGGAGAGGGUUAGCUGUAUGCGCGCCGUGUGCGUCGGCGCACUUGGCUCGCGUGGUGGGGGACGAACAAAGCCGUUCUUCUCCUGGCCGUCCAUAUAGUGGGAAGCGCAACGUCUGUAGACUGGUCAAGUCCAUUGUUCACGCAAUGAUGGUCGGUCUGUUGGCGUGCAGCCCCGUAUGGCCCGGACAGGACGCAGAGAGUGGGCUCCCUGGAGUGUCCGCCUGGCCCGCGCCGCGGGUCGGCCGCGCCUACCAAGACCGACGUGUGGCGACUGCUCGCUAUAGCCAGCGAAUCCGCUGUGCCCGGCACGAACCGUGCGCAAAGCAGCUAGCCAGCCGGCAGCUGCUGUGCGGCGCGACGGCCGAACAACCCCUGGCCGGCACCGCGUGUGCCCGCAUCAACGAGUCUGGAUCUCAAAUCAGACAAGACUACCCGCUGAAUUUAAGCAUAUAACUAAGCGGAGGAAAAGAAACUAACAAGGAUUCCUUCAGUAACGGCGAGCGAAGCAGGAAUAGCUCAAUUUUGAAAUCCGUCCUGGGUGACACCGGGACUGAAUUGUAGUUUCGAGAAGCAUGGUGGCUGGCAGGCCGCUGGGUGCAAAUCUCUUGGAACAGAGUAUCAUAGAGGGUGAGAAUCCCGUCCAUGGCCCAGCGUGUUCUGUCCAUAUUGCCGGCUUUCAACGAGUCAGGUUGUUUGGGAUUGCAGCCUAAAAUGGGUGGUAAAUUUCAUCUAAAGCUAAAUAACGAUGAGAGACCGAUAGCGAACAAGUACCGUGAGGGAAAGAUGAAAAGCACUCUGAAGAGAGAGUUAAAAGUACGUGAAAUUGUUGAAAGGGAAACACUUGGAACCAGUCCAGGCGAGCAGUGACUCAGCGGGCGCGUGGUGCCUGUAUGGCCGGCUCCGAUCAAGCGAUUGACUGGGACCGGCUGUCGGGGCGCAACAGCCCGUGCAUUUCACUGUGCGCGAGUCAACAUCAGUCUGCCGGCGCGGAAAAGGGCGACCGGAGAUUCCUUGAGGGUCCUAGACCACUCUGGGAAGCCAGCCGUUGGAUACGUGCCAGUAGACUGAGGAAUGCACUUGCCUUUGACCGCGCGCCAAUUGACGUGGUCCGCGCGGCACGAAACAGCCUGUCUGAUUCGGCUGUCGCGGGGUGCGUUAAGCGCUGUGCGGGCUCAGCGGGCCAAGUAACGGAUGUUGACGUAAUGGUUUCAAAUGACCCGUCUUGAAACACGGACCAAGGAGUCUAACAUGGAUGCGAGUAUUUGGGUGGACUAAACCCAUGUGCGCAAUGAAAGUGAACGUGUGGGACUUCUGUGGAGACACGGAACGCACCAUUGACCGAUCUUGUCUAGCUUCGGCUUAAUAGAUUCGAGUAAGAGCAUGUAUGUUGGGACCCGAAAGAUGGUGAACUAUGCCUGAAUAGGGUGAAGUCAGACGAAAGUCUGAUGGAGGCUCGUAGCGAUUCUGACGUGCAAAUCGAUCGUCAAAUUUGGGUAUAGGGGCGAAAGACUAAUCGAACCAUCUAGUAGCUGGUUCCUGC